AUGAUGUCGAUACCAGACACUCAGAAGGCACAAUCACAAAAAAUAAAACCAACUAACGGUGAUAUCAGCAUUAUAACCUACUCCCUCCGUCCAAAAAUACUUGUCAUCAAAAUGGACAAAAAGGGAUGUAUCUUUUUUUUUAUUUUUUUUUAUUUUUUAUUUUUAGAAAAGGAGGAUGACCCCCGGCCUCUGCAUCUGGGCGAUGCAUACGGCCACUUUAUUAAUUAUUCUCACAAGACCUUACAAAGUAAUACAACAGUAAGACUAAAGCCGCCGUCUAAGCACCUCUAUCCAGCCGAUGAAGGGGCGCAGAUAGCCUGGGCCUAA
This 327-nucleotide ribosomal RNA is filed under the name Triticum aestivum (bread wheat). RNAcentral's name for it is "partial small subunit ribosomal RNA". The record is from RNAcentral. Lineage: Eukaryota; Viridiplantae; Streptophyta; Magnoliopsida; Poales; Poaceae.